CGGGGCGUGGCGUAGCUUGGCUAACGCGCCUGCUUUGGGAGCAGGAGAUCGCAGGUUCGAAUCCUGUCGCCCCGACGU
RNAcentral lists this transfer RNA (78 nucleotides) under Rothia mucilaginosa ATCC 25296. RNAcentral's name for it is "tRNA-Pro". It matches the Rfam family "tRNA". From Rfam's summary of the family: Transfer RNA (tRNA) molecules are approximately 80 nucleotides in length. Lineage: Bacteria; Bacillati; Actinomycetota; Actinomycetes; Micrococcales; Micrococcaceae. The record is from RNAcentral.